Molecule: small RNA, 480 nt
Filed under: Arabidopsis thaliana (thale cress)
Lineage: Eukaryota; Viridiplantae; Streptophyta; Magnoliopsida; Brassicales; Brassicaceae
Description: ATSL126890
Source: RNAcentral
AAAUAUUUUAGUUGAACUUGAUAAACAUAUAUUACAAUACAAAAAAAAAGGGAUUGAGAUUUAGAUUACAUGAGCAUCAGAACCGUCUCUAAGCGCAGAAUCUCCUCUCCAAGUAACUCUUUGGUUCGAAGGCAAUUUUCCAGAACGUUGAGCUUCGAAAUACAAAAGACUCUUUGUGAGAGCGUCUCCAUAAUUUCUAGAGACAGCUCCACGAGCCAUCGACAAUACAAAUAACACAAUGCAAAUACUUGUCCAUAAGCAUUGUGAAGAUCCAAUUUUCAGUUGAGACAUCGUUUUUUUAAAUAAUCUUUAGACGAUCUCAAGACCAAUUGUAGAAUUGAUUUGAUUUUCUCUUGUGUUUGGCAUAUCUAUGUAUAUGUCCGUGUUCAACUAUUUAUAGAGAAUCUAUAUAAGAUGGAAUCCAUGGCUAAUUAAGGAUCAUUAACAUUCGUAGUUCUUACUCAAAAAUAAAUUAGCUAA